This 204-nucleotide ribosomal RNA is filed under the name uncultured bacterium. Its description in RNAcentral is "partial 16S ribosomal RNA". It matches the Rfam family "Bacterial small subunit ribosomal RNA", at positions 328 to 538 of the family's 1533-position model. The record is from RNAcentral.
ACGCUCGACACCUACGGGAGCAGCAGUGGGGAAUAUUGGGCAAUGGGCGAAAGCCUGACCCAGCAACGCCGCGUGAGGGAAGAAGGUUUUCGGAUUGUAAACCUCUGUCCUCAGGGACGAAGGACGUGACGGUACCUGAGGAGGAAGCCCCGGCUAACUACGUGCCAGCACGCCGCGGUAAUCUGAGGCGGGCUGGACGAAGGC